UACGUAGGUGGCAAGCGUUGUCCGGAUUUACUGGGCGUAAAGAGCGUGUAGGCGGCCCGGUAAGUCCGCUGUGAAAGUCGGGGGCUCAACCCUCGAAUGCCGGUGGAUACUGUCGGGCUAGAGUGCGGAAGAGGCGAGUGGAAUUCCUGGUGUAGCGGUGAAAUGCGCAGAUAUCAGGAGGAACACCGGUGGCGAAGGCGGGUCUCUGGGCCGAUACUGACGCUGGAGGAGCGAAAGCGUGGGGAGCGAACAGG
This 254-nucleotide ribosomal RNA is filed under the name uncultured bacterium. RNAcentral's name for it is "partial 16S ribosomal RNA". It matches the Rfam family "Bacterial small subunit ribosomal RNA", at positions 524 to 776 of the family's 1533-position model. The record is from RNAcentral.